Molecule: long non-coding RNA, 693 nt
Filed under: Homo sapiens (human)
Lineage: Eukaryota; Metazoa; Chordata; Mammalia; Primates; Hominidae
Description: HSALNT0400635
Source: RNAcentral
CCUAAGCAGGACACGAUCUCGUUGGCAGGGCAACCGGCCUUUAGUUGGUGGCCUUCAGUGGGUGGCUUAAGUUGGUGGCAUUUGGUUGCCUUUCCUGGGGAGAGGCGGCAGGUGCUCAGCUCUGCAGACGUGGGGGCAAGAGAAGGCCCAAGCUGCCUCGAGAAGAGCAGAGGUGCCCCAUGGGGACCAUGAUGACCGGUCGCAUGUGCCAAAGCCAGCCCCCGGCAGGGCCAGCGCAGGGUUUCUGCGGGGCCGUCCUGUGGCUCUGAUAUCUAUGAGUGGGUGGCCAGCAAAGGCACAGGCACCAGCAGAAAGGAGCAGAGAUGCCCAGAACAUGCUGUCCCCCAAUGCCAGCCCCAAGCGAGGCCAGCUUAGGGUGCGGUGGGCAGAGCCAUCCUGCAGCUCUGAGAUCCACGAAGUGGAGGUGGGAGUAGCGCCAGGCUCCACGGCGUUGGAGCUCUCACAACUUGAGCUCAAUUUUAUUCCGGAGCCAUGACCUGCAGCACAUUGGUGACCAGAAGACGCCCAAAGAUGUGCCUGAGACAGGUUUGACCAGGCAACUGAAAAGAUAUCCCUAAGAGAAGACAAAGCAAAGGUAUGAAAGGAACACACGUCCCUGACUGACUAGGAGGAACAGAGCUGCCUGCUGUCUGGAACCGCUUCCUCCCAGACUAAGAGAGAAAUAAACUUCUG